Molecule: ribosomal RNA, 253 nt
Filed under: uncultured bacterium
Lineage: Bacteria
Description: partial 16S ribosomal RNA
Rfam family: Bacterial small subunit ribosomal RNA
Source: RNAcentral
UACGGAGGGUGCAAGCGUUAAUCGAAAUUACUGGGCGUAAAGGGUGUGUAGGCGGAUUGGAAAGUCAGAGGUGAAAUCCCAGAGCUCAACUUUGGAACUGCCUUUGAAACUCCCAGUCUUGAGGUCGAGAGAGGUGAGUGGAAUUCCGAGUGUAGAGGUGAAAUUCGUAGAUAUUCGGAGGAACACCAGUGGCGAAGGCGGCUCACUGGCUCGAUACUGACGCUGAGGUGCGAAAGCGUGGGGAGCAAACAGG